RNAcentral lists this long non-coding RNA (438 nucleotides) under Salmo salar (Atlantic salmon). Its description in RNAcentral is "lncRNA (ENSSSAG00000103195.1)". The record is from RNAcentral. Lineage: Eukaryota; Metazoa; Chordata; Actinopteri; Salmoniformes; Salmonidae.
CUACACAAUCGCAAAGCACGUGAAAUAUAUUCACAUGCGCGCCGCGCACAAAGCCCAGUUUCAGCGGAAUAUCAUUUGCAUGCAGCCAGAGUGUAAAACUCUCAAGUGGUUUUGUCAUGGAGCAGCUCACAGAAGAAUGGUAGCCUGCAGGGUAGGAAUAUCAGGGGAGAGUUUCCACAGUCCUGCUCGUUUUCACUCCCGCCUUUGGAACAGUGACUGGUGUAGACCUGGAAACCAGGGAAACCAGCACAGCAGACCUCCUGGACUGGAGUUGGCCACUUCCAGGUUAUCAGAAUGGUUAUGCAGAAGUGAAUGAUUCGUCAGAUUGUCAAAGGAGGAAAUGGAUACAAACCCCAACCGACAAGCCGGAAUACAAACAAGAGAUCAAAUGGAUAAGAAGCUCAUUUAAAAAAAGAGCAAACAUAUACAGAGUUACAC